CCACCCUACGGGGGGCAGCAGUAGGGAAUCUUCCACAAUGGGCGAAAGCCUGAUGGAGCAACGCCGCGUGGGUGAAGAAGGUCUUCGGAUCGUAAAACCCUGUUGUUAGAGAAGAAAGUGCGUGAGAGUAACUGUUCACGUUUCGACGGUAUCUAACCAGAAAGCCACGGCUAACUACGUGCCAGCAGCCGCGGUAAUACGUAGGUGGCAAGCGUUAUCCGGAUUUAUUGGGCGUAAAGGGAACGCAGGCGGGCUUUUAAGUCUGAUGGGAAAGCCUUCGGCUUAACCGGAGGAGGGCAGUGGGA
RNAcentral lists this ribosomal RNA (305 nucleotides) under uncultured bacterium. Its description in RNAcentral is "bacterial SSU rRNA". It matches the Rfam family "Bacterial small subunit ribosomal RNA", at positions 333 to 631 of the family's 1533-position model. The record is from RNAcentral.